Manis pentadactyla (Chinese pangolin) is the source of this 1359-nucleotide long non-coding RNA. RefSeq lists it as uncharacterized. The record is from RefSeq and is a predicted model, not a curated record. The transcript has 4 exons. NCBI's taxonomy places the organism in Eukaryota, Metazoa, Chordata, Mammalia, Pholidota, Manidae.
CAACUUCCCUGGUUUGACCAGAAGGACCAAAUUAAAAGGCAAUGUUCUUCUGGACUACACUUUGCUUUCAUUCAGUUACUGUGGCACCUACCUGGCUAGUUACUCCUCUCUUCCAGAAUUUGAACUGGCCCUCUGGAACUGGGAAUCAAGUGUUAUUUUGUGCAAGAAGUCACAACCUGGUGUAGAUAUCAGCCAGAUGACUUUUAACCCCAUGAACUGGCACCAGCUGUGCUUGUCAAGUCCAAGUACAGUUACUGUGUGGACCAUUGAAAGAAGUAACCAGGAUCAUUAUCUCAAAUCCAAGUUGGUAAAACUACCUAUGGAAGAUGGGACAUUUUUUAAUGAAACAGAUGUAAUUUUCCCCCAGUCAUUGCCCAAGGAUCUUAUCCAUGGACCUGUGCUCCCACUGUCAGCCAUGGCCGGGCUAGUAGGCGAAGAAGCAGAAACUUUCGGGGUAAUCACCCGUCGCCUCUCCCAGUUUGCUUACAGUUCUCAUAGUCAUCCUAUGAGACAUGCAGGAUAGACAGGAUCAUCUUGGUUUAGCCCUGGACACCACAGAGAGGAAGGCUCUGGAGAUUUGAGUUUGGACCUGGGCGGAUGAUGGCGCUGACAGCAGAAACAGGGAGCCCAGAUGUGAUACCCGUUUUGGACACACUGAAUUUGUUGGGAAGGCCUGGUGGGAACUGGCCAAGCGGACCUAGCACUGGGGAGAAGGCAGGGCUGGAGACGCAGAGGUCAGAGUCAUUCCCACGGACAGGCUGAUGAGAGGGCUGGGGAGGGGACCUGUUUCGACGGAGAGGAGAGAAAGGGCAUCAGGGAAGAGAGCCGGAGAGGAAACUGACUGCCAAGAGCUGGGAGGAAGAAGACGAGCCUGAGGAGGAGCAGUCACAGAAGCAGGAGCAGGUCUGGAGAGAAGAAAAAGGCCAUGGAAAAUACGGCCUUGAAGAAAGUUUCAAAGAGAAUUUGUCAACUCUCAUUCAUUCGUCCAGCGUAUUUUUCAGGCUCCUCCUAUGCAGCAGGCACUGUUUUAGGCACUGUGGUCACGUGGUGACCAGCCAGGCAUAAUCCCUACGCCUUGGAGCUUCACUCUAUCAGGGAGACAGAGCAACACUACCACCACCACCAAGAGUAAAAAGAUCCAUUAAAUCAUUGCAAAAUGCGAUGGUUAUAACCUGAUAACUGGGGAGGGCAGGAGGUGGAGGUGAGGAUGAGGUUAAUAUAUGGUCAAUGGGGAGAUGACACCUAUGCUACAGGCAGGGUAAAGAACGUUCAGGCAGAGGGAACUGCAUGUGCAAGAGCCCUGGGGGAAGAAAAGAACUCUUAUGUUUGAGAAGCUGAAAAAAGACCCAUGUGGCUGCA